RNAcentral lists this ribosomal RNA (235 nucleotides) under Halanaerobium kushneri. RNAcentral describes it as "16S rRNA. Bacterial SSU". It matches the Rfam family "Bacterial small subunit ribosomal RNA", at positions 1 to 212 of the family's 1533-position model. Lineage: Bacteria; Bacillati; Bacillota; Clostridia; Halanaerobiales; Halanaerobiaceae. The record is from RNAcentral.
UUUAUACGGAGAGUUUGAUCCUGGCUCAGGACGAACGCUGGCGGCGUGCUUAACACAUGCAAGUCGAACGGUCUACCUCGACAGAAACCUUCGGGUUGACGACGAGAUCUAGAUAGUGGCGGACGGGUGAGUAACACGUGAAUAAUCUGUCCUCAAGUCCGGGAUAACCUGGCGAAAGUCGGGCUAAUCCGGGGUAAGCUGAGAGUGUGGCAUCACACAAUCAGAAAAGGUGGCU